UGCCGUUGUGAUGGAAUGGCAGACAUACCGGACUUAAAAUCCGGAGGGCGUAAUUGCCCGUGCGGGUUCAAGUCCCGCCAACGGCAG
This 87-nucleotide transfer RNA is filed under the name Clostridia bacterium. RNAcentral's name for it is "tRNA-Leu". It matches the Rfam family "tRNA". From Rfam's summary of the family: Transfer RNA (tRNA) molecules are approximately 80 nucleotides in length. Their secondary structure includes four short double-helical elements and three loops (D, anti-codon, and T loops). Lineage: Bacteria; Bacillati; Bacillota; Clostridia. The record is from RNAcentral.